Non-coding RNA from Chaetura pelagica (chimney swift), 90 nucleotides. The record is from Rfam. NCBI's taxonomy places the organism in Eukaryota, Metazoa, Chordata, Aves, Apodiformes, Apodidae.
GUAGCCUGUUGUCAAUGAUGGAUUCUUGUUGAAGCUGAAUGUAACUGAUUUGAGUCAACAUUUCGUCACUACCACUGAGACAACAGUUAC